This 149-nucleotide small nuclear RNA is filed under the name Fukomys damarensis (Damara mole-rat). Its description in RNAcentral is "U4 spliceosomal RNA (ENSFDAG00000002390.1)". The stretch from base 1 to 112 matches the Rfam family "U4 spliceosomal RNA". From Rfam's summary of the family: U4 small nuclear RNA (U4 snRNA) is a component of the major U2-dependent spliceosome. The record is from RNAcentral. Lineage: Eukaryota; Metazoa; Chordata; Mammalia; Rodentia; Bathyergidae.
AGCUUUGCGCAGUGGCAGUAUCAUAGCCAAUGGGGUUUAUCCGAGGUGCGAUUAUUGCUAAUUGAAAACUUUUCCCAAUUUAAAAAAAAAUUUCAGCCAUCCUACCUCUAAUUGUCAGAAAUGUUGGCUCUCUGGCACAAAAAUGUUUG